UAUGGAAGAGGUCAGCCUUUUAUUAGAAGGGAAUAUGGAAAUAAUUCUGCAGAAGCUGGAAGAAAUCAACAACAUAGAAUGAAUAACCUGUAUUCAACUCAGCAAGGUCAGGUUAAUAAGGAUAAUUGGUCUAGCUAUGGACAAGGAUUUCGACCCUAUUCAAAUCCUGCACAAAGGUAUCAAAGUGUUAGGUCGUACCCACCACAAAGCUCAAAUGGUGAUAGACAAACACAGAAUACAAAGCCUACCAAUAAUGGCUCUCUGCAAUGCCAGAUCUGUAAGAAAUCAGGUCACACAGCACUCAGAUGUUGGUAUAGAUUCGACAAUUCAUACCAGGUGGAUGAAAUACCAACUGCAUUAGCAGCAGUUCACAUUGAAGAACCCUAUGGCUCAGAAUGGUAUCCGGAUACAGGGGCUACGUCACACAUUAUCUCAGAACCUGGUAUGAUUCAAAACUUCAAUACAUAUAGUGGUAAUGACACUGUCAUGAUAGGAGAUGGAUCUCACUUAUCAAUCUCAUGCAUUGGUAGUGGAAUACUAAAUGCAGGAAAUAGCAAAUUACCUCUAAAUGAUGUAUUGAUAGU
This 584-nucleotide long non-coding RNA is filed under the name Eucalyptus grandis. Its description in RNAcentral is "long non-coding RNA (EGRA_LNC007360)". Lineage: Eukaryota; Viridiplantae; Streptophyta; Magnoliopsida; Myrtales; Myrtaceae. The record is from RNAcentral.